GACGAACGCUGGCGGCAUGCCUAAUACAUGCACGUCGAGCGAACAGAUGAAGUGCUUGCACUUCUGACGUUAGCGGCGAACGGGUGAGUAACACGUAAGGAAUCUACCUAUAAGCGGGGGAUAACAUUCGGAAACGGGUGCUAAUACCGCAUAAUAUCUUCUUCCGCACGGAAGAAGAUUGAAAGACGGCUCUGCUGUCACUUAUAGAUGACCUUGCGGUGCAUUAGUUAGUUGGUGGGGUAACGGCCUACCAAGACGAUGAUGCAUAGCCGACCGGGGCGGGUGACCGGCCACAUUGGGACUGAGACACGGCCCAAACUCCGACAGGAGGCAGCAGUAGGGAAUCUUCCGCAAUGGGCGAAAGCCUGACGGAGCAAUGCCGCGUGAGUGAAGAAGGCCUUCGGGUCGUAAAACUCUGUUAUAAGAGAAGAACAAAUUGUAGAGUAACUGCUACAGUCUUGACGGUAUCUUAACAGAAAGCCACGGCUAACUACGUGCCAGCCGCCGCGGUAA
Molecule: ribosomal RNA, 513 nt
Filed under: uncultured bacterium
Lineage: Bacteria
Description: partial 16S ribosomal RNA
Rfam family: Bacterial small subunit ribosomal RNA
Source: RNAcentral